GGGAAUGUGGCUGAGUGGUAGAGUGCUUGCCUAGCAUGCAUGAAGCCCUGGGUUCAAUUCCUCAGCACCA
Molecule: transfer RNA, 70 nt
Filed under: Dipodomys ordii (Ord's kangaroo rat)
Lineage: Eukaryota; Metazoa; Chordata; Mammalia; Rodentia; Heteromyidae
Rfam family: tRNA
About the family: Transfer RNA (tRNA) molecules are approximately 80 nucleotides in length. Their secondary structure includes four short double-helical elements and three loops (D, anti-codon, and T loops). Further hydrogen bonds mediate the characteristic L-shaped molecular structure. tRNAs have two regions of fundamental functional importance: the anti-codon, which is responsible for specific mRNA codon recognition, and the 3' end, to which the tRNAs corresponding amino acid is attached (by aminoacyl-tRNA synthetases). tRNAs cope with the degeneracy of the genetic code in two manners: having more than one tRNA (with a specific anti-codon) for a particular amino acid; and 'wobble' base-pairing, i.e. permitting non-standard base-pairing at the 3rd anti-codon position.
Source: Rfam by way of RNAcentral